RNAcentral lists this ribosomal RNA (497 nucleotides) under uncultured bacterium. RNAcentral describes it as "partial 16S ribosomal RNA". It matches the Rfam family "Bacterial small subunit ribosomal RNA", at positions 28 to 507 of the family's 1533-position model. The record is from RNAcentral.
GAUGAACGCUGGCGGCGUGCCUAAUACAUGCAAGUCGAGCGAACAGACGAGGAGCUUGCUCCUCUGACGUUAGCGGCGGACGGGUGAGUAACACGUGGAUAACCUACCUAUAAGACUGGGAUAACUUCGGGAAACCGGAGCUAAUACCGGAUAAUAUAUUGAACCGCAUGGUUCAAUAGUGAAAGACGGUUUUGCUGUCACUUAUAGAUGGAUCCGCGCCGCAUUAGCUAGUUGGUAAGGUAACGGCUUACCAAGGCAACGAUGCGUAGCCGACCUGAGAGGGGGAUCGGCAACCGGAGAAGUGAGACAGGGCCAAGACGCCUAGGGGAGGCGCCGGUGGGUAGUCUUCCGAAUGGGGGAAAGGCCAGGCGGAGCAGCACCGGGAGGUGGAUGAGGAUCUUCGGAUCGAAAAUCUCUGUUUUGAGGGAAAAACAAUUAUGAAGGAAACUAUGCCCGUCGUGACGGUACAUAAUCAAAAGACCAGGGCUAACUACGUG